Non-coding RNA from Anas platyrhynchos (mallard), 547 nucleotides. The record is from RefSeq and is a predicted model, not a curated record. NCBI's taxonomy places the organism in Eukaryota, Metazoa, Chordata, Aves, Anseriformes, Anatidae.
AGCUGUACUCGGGCUCCUGAGCCGCCGCCACCCACAGCGCUGCGGGGCCGGGGGGUGGGAGACACGGGGAGAAGGGAGAGAAGGAGAAGGAGAAGAAGAAGAAGGGGGGACACGCGGUGAAGCCGAGCCCGCAGCCCCCUGCCCCGACGGCGGUGGGAGCGGGGCCGGGCGGUGGUUACCGAGAUGGGUAAGCAGAAACAGAGAGAUAGCGAGCGACUUGCCCUAAAGGUUAAACACCACGUCCGAAACAUAACCCAGGGCCCUCAGCUGAAGAAGCGGUGGCUGAGUUUCAUUAAAGAUGCCCAGGAAAUUAAACCAUUCUAGCUGCCCGGGCAGGUGUCAAUACAACAAAUCUGUUUGUCCUACUCAGAAGAAAUGUUUUAGCCUGCUUGUGGUUGGCGAGCUGCACCAGUAAACAGCAGAAAGGCAGCGGUGCUCCGCAGCAUCCUCCCUGUGCAUGUGCCACAGCAGCAUGUUUCACUUCCACUGGGUUCUUCUCUGUCCCAUAUUUUUUCUUUUUCUUUUUUUUUUUUUUUUUUUUUUUAUU